Molecule: ribosomal RNA, 208 nt
Filed under: Staphylococcus capitis
Lineage: Bacteria; Bacillati; Bacillota; Bacilli; Caryophanales; Staphylococcaceae
Description: partial 16S ribosomal RNA
Rfam family: Bacterial small subunit ribosomal RNA
Source: RNAcentral
UUUUAUGGAGAGUUUGAUCCUGGCUCAGGAUGAACGCUGGCGGCGUGCCUAAUACAUGCAAGUCGAGCGAACAGACGAGGAGCUUGCUCCUCUGACGUUAGCGGCGGACGGGUGAGUAACACGUGGAUAACCUACCUAUAAGACUGGGAUAACUUCGGGAAACCGGAGCUAAUACCGGAUAACAUGUUGAACCGCAUGGUUCAACAGU